This 301-nucleotide ribosomal RNA is filed under the name uncultured bacterium. RNAcentral describes it as "partial 16S ribosomal RNA". It matches the Rfam family "Bacterial small subunit ribosomal RNA", at positions 509 to 807 of the family's 1533-position model. The record is from RNAcentral.
CAGUAGCCGCGGGAAAACGUAGGGUGCAAGCGUUAAUCGGAAUUACUGGGCGUAAAGCGUGCGCAGGCGGUUUUGUAAGACAGAGGUGAAAUCCCCGGGCUCAACCUGGGAACUGCCUUUGUGACUGCAAGGCUAGAGUACGGCAGAGGGGGAUGGAAUUCCGCGUGUAGCAGUGAAAUGCGUAGAUAUGCGGAGGAACACCGAUGGCGAAGGCAAUCCCCUGGGCCUGUACUGACGCUCAUGCACGAAAGCGUGGGGAGCAAACAGGAUUAGAUACCCGGGUAGUCCCUGUCUCUUAUAC